Non-coding RNA from Podarcis lilfordi (Lilford's wall lizard), 104 nucleotides. The record is from the annotation of a GenBank genome assembly. NCBI's taxonomy places the organism in Eukaryota, Metazoa, Chordata, Lepidosauria, Squamata, Lacertidae.
CUUCCAGUAGCACCUUAGAGACCAGCUAAAUUUGUUAUUGGUAUGAGCUCAUGGAAGCUCAUACCAAUAACAAACUUAGUUGGUCUCUAAGGUGCUACUGGAAG